GCCGGGCAUGGUGGCACAUGCCUGUAAUCCCAGCUACUUGGGAGGCCGAGGCAGGAGAAUUGCUUGAAUCCAGGAGGCAGAGGUUGCAGUGAGCCGAGAUUGUGCCACUGCACUCCAGCCUGGGUGACAGAGCGAGAUUCUGUCUCAG
Pongo abelii (Sumatran orangutan) is the source of this 148-nucleotide unclassified non-coding RNA. It matches the Rfam family "Metazoan signal recognition particle RNA". From Rfam's summary of the family: The signal recognition particle (SRP) is a universally conserved ribonucleoprotein. It is involved in the co-translational targeting of proteins to membranes. The record is from Ensembl. NCBI's taxonomy places the organism in Eukaryota, Metazoa, Chordata, Mammalia, Primates, Hominidae.